GAUGAACGCUGGCGGCGUGCCUAAUACAUGCAAGUCGAGCGAACGGACGAGAAGCUUGCUUCUCUGAUGUUAGCGGCGGACGGGUGAGUAACACGUGGAUAACCUACCUAUAAGACUGGGAUAACUUCGGGAAACCGGAGCUAAUACCGGAUAAUAUUUUGAACAGCAUGGUUCAAAAGUGAAAGACGGUCUUGAUGUCACUUAUAGAUGGAUCCGCGCUGCAUUAGCUAGUUGGUAAGGUAACGGCUUACCAAGGCAACGAUGCAUAGCCGACCUGAGAGGGUGAUCGGCCACACUGGAACUGAGACACGGUCCAGACUCCUACGGGAGGCAGCAGUAGGGAAUCUUCCACAAUGGGCGAAAGCCUGACGGAGCAACGCCGCGUGAGUGAUGAAGGUCUUCGGAUCGUAAAACUCUGUUAUUAGGGAAGAACAUAUGUGUAAGUAACUGUGCACAUCUUGACGGUACCUAAUCAGAAAGCCACGGCUAACUACGUG
RNAcentral lists this ribosomal RNA (497 nucleotides) under uncultured bacterium. Its description in RNAcentral is "partial 16S ribosomal RNA". It matches the Rfam family "Bacterial small subunit ribosomal RNA", at positions 28 to 507 of the family's 1533-position model. The record is from RNAcentral.